CCUGCACUCGCUCCCACUGCCCAUGCAGCCUCAGCUGGGAACCCACCUUCCUCUUCGGAAGCAUUUUCCACAGCAUCUCCUGGAUGGAUUUUUAUCAGGGAAGAUGAACAGUAUUUGAAAGUCCUCUCAAAUAAAGAGAGCAAUGUUUUAAGGUGGAGAAUGAAGGAUACAAUAUACUACCAACUCAAUACGCUCUUACAACUCUUUAGUAGCAGAUUCUCUGGUUCCUUUCCUCUCUUCAUUUAAUUUAAUGUCCAAGUCCCGGAGCUGGCUGAGGAAUCCUGAAUUUGGGCAGAUGUCUCUGUGAGCGCUCACUGUUUUCAGAGCAUCCACAAGUGUCAUGUUUUCAUGGAUCAUUAAAAAGGCAAGCACUAAAGAUGCAGAGCGGCUUACCCCCAUGGCGCAAUGAACAAACACCUUACCUGCAAAAGAAGAGGCGCAGCAAGAGAAUGUUAAGCUGAAGCAGUAAAAGGAAAUCAAGAAAGAGAUAAUACAGGUUCUACAUCAGGAGAUUCAUAAGACCACAGGCUCAUUUUCAAGGAGUGUGGCUGACUUUUGAUUGCUGCAGGUGUUUAAAAGCUGAAGUUGUGGAGGUAGUGCUUAACACUAUGGCUCUUUGUCCUCCUGAUGGAAAAAUCCAGAUGGAAAGAAGUGUGGUUCACAGGGAAAUGAUCAUAUGGUCAUGAAACACAAGGUCCACAAACCAGACAUUUUGCCCUGGGAUAACCACCAAGUCACUGCUACUAGAUCAACUGGUAGAACUGGAAGAACUAGGCUCUGCUCUGGGCUAAUAGAGAAUGAUUGACUAGCGAGACCUUCAGGUCUAACCUGCCUUGGCAUCUUUUCCACGUCUCUUAUCAAUGAGGUGUCCACAAUACCCAUUACUAAAUAGUGAAUUAUGUAACACGGGCACCAAACACCCAGCAUCUGCUCCCCAGGCUGGGAAUACAUGUGUCACUAUGAACCAAGAUUAAUUUCACAGUGGCAGCAAGGAGGGAGAUGACAAGGGGUCAGGAGUGAAGAAGGAAAAGAAAAAUGUUUAAAGCAACUUUCAACUGUUGUGACAAUGAGGAAAACCAACUGAUGAUAUGGAUGCCCAUCACUUGGGCAGGAACACCUUUGCUCCAGGAGAAGAUGCUAACACAGACCCCAAUGCCCUCAUACCUUCCCGUUCAAGAUUCUGAUCAUACCCGGCUUUUUAAGGAGAUACACUCUGAUGAUUACCAGCAGACCAUGUGUGAUUUGGACAUAGUUUUAUCGGUUACUCCUAAUCUUUCAGGAUCCUGCUGUCCUCCCACCUGCCAAUGGAAACAAUGUCUGUAAGUGGAUAAUUACGCUUACCCAAGUGGUUGAGUGAGGUUUAGUUAAUGCUGCUAAAAUAAUUUGUGAUCGCUUAAUGAACAUGCUGCGUAAAGAGCAGCGGCUUACCACCAGGACAAGGACUCACCAUUUGGCCUUGUGAAUGUACUCAGAGGCAGCACAGAAAUGUGCGCCAAGGUGAAAGUCGACCGAGUCCUCUGCAGGUAUUAUUCCAUAACAAUGCAUUUCCUGGCCACGGAGAGUUCGGUCUCCUUUGCUUCCCCAUGCAAAAUGUGCAGCAUUCAGUGCAUGGGUGACACCAAGGCUCCUCAGGUCUUGCUUGUUAUGGGCUAUAGAGCUGCAGAGAGUCACGUACAAAAGCUCAGAACAGAAAGCAACCCAACGUAUUUUGUUGCCUUGUUGUGUAUCCCUGUUUGCAGAGCACAGUGCCCACCACACUUUCAGACUCAUGGUGUAAAAAAAGGGUAUUGUAGUAAAAGAAGGUUGUGAUUUCCGAAUAUAGUCAAAAUAGGUGGGGAAAAUGCAGAAUUCCAAGUCAUUUCACUUCUGCAAAGACAGUUUCCUGCCUACAACUUCCUGUAAAUUUAACAAGUGUUACAGGCUCUAUUUGACUACAAAGCCAUGGGGAAUUACUGGCCCAAACACCUUGCAAAAAUUCACUUCAUGAGGUAGCUCAGGCCCUCCUAUAAUUGGACUUGAAAUAUGUAUGUUGAAAGAACACACUCUGGUUUUAGUAUAGCCUGCAACCAUCUUGCAAUUGUACGAUGUUUCUUUGCUGGAGUGGUACUAGCCUUGUUAAUCUGGGUAAACUCCGCUUGAUAAACCUGCCUGCUUAAAAUCGGCAUGAAGUUUCAUUUCUGCACGGUAUUUUACAUCUUGUGCCCCCAGCUGCUUAUUAUGUAGCACUUUAAAAAAUACUUUACCUUUCAACCCAAAGGGUCUUGGCCUUGGCCUUGCAUAUCAGCAAUGGCUGAUAGCCAGACAAAUGUUUAAUAAUCAGUUUGUUGACCACUUCAAAGUCCUCUGGUAUGAAAGACAUCAUGUAAAGUCAACCAUCCCUACUUUAUUUUACUAGAGAUAUUUAACUCAUUUAAAGAGGCUGACCAUCAAAUUUCUGAUAAAGUCAUAAGGAGAAAUAUUUAUUGUAAAAUACAGCUUUAAUUCUAGAUUGACCUUUAAUUUCCAAGUAGCUCCUCAGAAACUGCACAUAACUGGUUCCCCAGGAACAAGCAGUGACAAUUUAUGGUACUGCUUCAGGUUAUUUUAGCUCUGGCACAAGCUCUGAUGCUGGCACAGAUUUGCUCAGUAACAAAAACAUCCUCUGUUUAUUGACUUUGCUGAGUAUUGGGUUGGGCCCUAAAUGCAAAUCCUCUCUCUAUUCCCAAUUUUCACCUCAGGAAGAUCCCAGGAAGCCUUGUUCUCAGGUGUUGAUCAUAUUUGUCUUAUUGAUGUUGGCAGAACAAAGAAAAUUCCAUCUAUAGCACUUGAUAAACUUCCAGUUUCACUGAUUGCAGUCUGUAACUCUUUGUAUUUAACCUCAAUAUUAGUGACCAGCUGUUGCAUUAGCAACCAAACCUGUUUACAUUUUUAUUCCUGUUAGCUGAAUGUUCUCAAAGUUCAUCUUUUCCUUCCUACAUGUACACACUGUUGUUAAAUAUAUAUUUCCCCCUCCCUUCAUUUUCCUUUCCCCAAGAAACUGAAUGUGAAUGAAAAUAAACAUGCAAGAAUAAUUUGGAGCAUAUAUACCCACAGGCAUUAAAAGGAGGUCUUAAAACUGCACUUAGAAGAAUGUCUAAAAUCAAACAAUCGUGUUAAUGCAAUUUCAGUGAUUUUUUUUAUAGUCUUAAAUCUUUGCUUUUACUACCUGUUGGGCUCACUUCUGCAAAUCCUUAUUUCUCCAAAUGGUUCUAAUAAAAUAAAAAAGGUUAAUUUACAAGUAUAGUUACGAGGUUUAACUGGAAAGGCAAAGGUUGGUUUCCCACUCUCGUCACCGAGGCAGAAGAUCAGUGAAGUUCUGCAUGCUGUGCUGGCUUCUGCCUUUCCCCACCCCAGGGCCAGACCUGCACACGGGUGUUUCUGGGUGCCCACCAGUGGGCAGCCACCCCCUGGGCACAGGGCUCAUCUGCAGGGCGUCACGUUCAUGAUGGGAAAUGCUGUGAGAUUAGGAAGCAGGCUGCAAUUUGUAAUCUGCAUUUGCAAAACCUGGCUUCAUUUCCCCAAAGGCAUCUCGCUCAUUUUUAGGCUUUGCUUUUUCACACCUAAAAGAAUGCCUAGUUUUAGCUGUAAUCAAUAGGCAAUUAGCCAAAGGUUCAUUAGUUCCUCCUGCUUCUCUCAUUCAGGAAUUAUUGUAAUUGUACUUUCCAGAUAUUUCCACACAAGCUUGAGAAAUAAACAGUGAAGUCUGCUGUCAUUCAGAAUAUCUGGGGUUUUUUUGUCAGAAAUUUCAACUGCAAAUCAGGUUGUUAUACAAACAGCAAAUAUUAGAAUACUUUUUUUUACGUGAAAAUUUCCCUUCUAGUUAGUAAACUGAAAAAAGUAAAAACCAAUCAUAGUUUAAUUUUAAGGCUACUCAGG
This is a long non-coding RNA of Grus americana (Whooping crane), 3894 nucleotides long. RefSeq lists it as uncharacterized. The transcript is spliced from 8 exons. Lineage: Eukaryota; Metazoa; Chordata; Aves; Gruiformes; Gruidae. The record is from RefSeq and is a predicted model, not a curated record.